RNAcentral lists this ribosomal RNA (1517 nucleotides) under Bacteroides ovatus CL02T12C04. RNAcentral describes it as "bacterial SSU rRNA". It matches the Rfam family "Bacterial small subunit ribosomal RNA". The record is from RNAcentral. Lineage: Bacteria; Pseudomonadati; Bacteroidota; Bacteroidia; Bacteroidales; Bacteroidaceae.
AGAGUUUGAUCCUGGCUCAGGAUGAACGCUAGCUACAGGCUUAACACAUGCAAGUCGAGGGGCAGCAUUUUAGUUUGCUUGCAAACUGAAGAUGGCGACCGGCGCACGGGUGAGUAACACGUAUCCAACCUGCCGAUAACUCCGGAAUAGCCUUUCGAAAGAAAGAUUAAUACCGGAUAGCAUACGAAUAUCGCAUGAUAUUUUUAUUAAAGAAUUUCGGUUAUCGAUGGGGAUGCGUUCCAUUAGUUUGUUGGCGGGGUAACGGCCCACCAAGACUACGAUGGAUAGGGGUUCUGAGAGGAAGGUCCCCCACAUUGGAACUGAGACACGGUCCAAACUCCUACGGGAGGCAGCAGUGAGGAAUAUUGGUCAAUGGGCGAGAGCCUGAACCAGCCAAGUAGCGUGAAGGAUGAAGGCUCUAUGGGUCGUAAACUUCUUUUAUAUGGGAAUAAAGUUUUCCACGUGUGGAAUUUUGUAUGUACCAUAUGAAUAAGGAUCGGCUAACUCCGUGCCAGCAGCCGCGGUAAUACGGAGGAUCCGAGCGUUAUCCGGAUUUAUUGGGUUUAAAGGGAGCGUAGGUGGAUUGUUAAGUCAGUUGUGAAAGUUUGCGGCUCAACCGUAAAAUUGCAGUUGAAACUGGCAGUCUUGAGUACAGUAGAGGUGGGCGGAAUUCGUGGUGUAGCGGUGAAAUGCUUAGAUAUCACGAAGAACUCCGAUUGCGAAGGCAGCUCACUAGACUGUCACUGACACUGAUGCUCGAAAGUGUGGGUAUCAAACAGGAUUAGAUACCCUGGUAGUCCACACAGUAAACGAUGAAUACUCGCUGUUUGCGAUAUACAGUAAGCGGCCAAGCGAAAGCAUUAAGUAUUCCACCUGGGGAGUACGCCGGCAACGGUGAAACUCAAAGGAAUUGACGGGGGCCCGCACAAGCGGAGGAACAUGUGGUUUAAUUCGAUGAUACGCGAGGAACCUUACCCGGGCUUAAAUUGCAACAGAAUAUAUUGGAAACAGUAUAGCCGUAAGGCUGUUGUGAAGGUGCUGCAUGGUUGUCGUCAGCUCGUGCCGUGAGGUGUCGGCUUAAGUGCCAUAACGAGCGCAACCCUUAUCUUUAGUUACUAACAGGUUAUGCUGAGGACUCUAGAGAGACUGCCGUCGUAAGAUGUGAGGAAGGUGGGGAUGACGUCAAAUCAGCACGGCCCUUACGUCCGGGGCUACACACGUGUUACAAUGGGGGGUACAGAAGGCAGCUACACGGCGACGUGAUGCUAAUCCCAAAAACCUCUCUCAGUUCGGAUCGAAGUCUGCAACCCGACUUCGUGAAGCUGGAUUCGCUAGUAAUCGCGCAUCAGCCAUGGCGCGGUGAAUACGUUCCCGGGCCUUGUACACACCGCCCGUCAAGCCAUGAAAGCCGGGGGUACCUGAAGUACGUAACCGCAAGGAGCGUCCUAGGGUAAAACUGGUAAUUGGGGCUAAGUCGUAACAAGGUAGCCGUACCGGAAGGUGCGGCUGGAACACCU